This 530-nucleotide long non-coding RNA is filed under the name Chloebia gouldiae (Gouldian finch). RNAcentral describes it as "Erythrura gouldiae (Gouldian finch) lncRNA (ENSEGOG00005004205.1)". The record is from RNAcentral. Lineage: Eukaryota; Metazoa; Chordata; Aves; Passeriformes; Passeridae.
UGGAUAGCACAUCCAGCCUUCAGGUGGCUGCUAAUAUGACAUGUACAGCUUCAGACAUUUAUGUGAGCGCCCAGAAUAACAGGACAAAGUUGGUGACAACCUGAGGUCAUCUUGCCUAUAAACCACCCAACCACUGCCUGCAGGCUAGAUGAAGUGUGUAUGAAGGCAUCACUGACAUCAGCAAGUGGAAAGUAAAGAAAACAAUUCUAAGAGUUUUUGCCACUGUGGUGCACAGAAGUUGGAUGGAAACAAAAUACAGAGGCAAUGCCCACCAAAUCUUGGUGGCUGAGGAGCUGCUGAACACCUUGAUGGACAGGGCUGGGAUACAGAAGAGCUUCUUCAACAGGAUGAGGCUGGUUUGGCUGAAUAUGAGAGCAGAGGUUUCCCCAGGAUCUUCAGACAUGAGCCUCAACGUACUGUGAAUUUUGUUUAAAGGAUGAGAUGAAGAAAGGGCUGGGAUACAUACGCUGCUGCUACCAGCAGCUCGGGGCAGGGUUUCAGGAGCUGCUCGCUUCCCACCAGGCACGAGC